AAGUUGGAUUCGCUAGUAAUCGCGCAUCAGCCAUGGCGCGGUGAAUACGUUCCCGGGCCUUGUACACACCGCCCGUCAAGCCAUGGGAGCCGGGGGUGCCUGAAGUUCGUUACCGCAAGGAUCGACCUAGGGCAAAACUGGUGACUGGGGCUAAGUCGUAACAAGGUAUC
This 170-nucleotide ribosomal RNA is filed under the name uncultured bacterium. RNAcentral's name for it is "partial 16S ribosomal RNA". It matches the Rfam family "Bacterial small subunit ribosomal RNA", at positions 1323 to 1500 of the family's 1533-position model. The record is from RNAcentral.